AAUGAGGAGAUAUGUCACUGAUGUUUGCAGCGGCAUUGCAUUUGGCAGGAAAAUUGGCCAGUAAAUUCUUGAAGUAUAUUAUUUCUUCUUGGUCCUGAACAACAGUAAAUUUAGCAGAUGCUUGAACUUGGUUGGCCUCGAUGGCCUGAAAUGCCUAAGGCUGCAAUGCCUCUGGCUAGUCCUUUUUAAGUCAUGCGCCCAUGGAAAGAUUGUUGGAUAAUAGCUUGCAACAUGGAGGUUCACCUAUCUUGCACAUGAAGUAGCGUUGCUACAUGGCACAAACCCAACAUCAAUGGUGGAAAAGGGAUUAGGCUUGGCAGACGAACCAACGAUUUCCUUUGAAGUUGGAGUUAUACUCAUCCUUUGUGACGAUUCAAACUUUGUUCUGCUUGUAUAUGCAUUUCUAGUAGCAGUGCCUGUGACAACCGUUUUCUCAGCAUCAAGAAACUGAACGGGAUUCUCAUCUGAAUUUUCAAAACUAGACGAAUGAACCUCGUCUAGGAUAUUCUCAACAUUCACAUCAAGGCAGGUUUUAGCAGAUUAGGAAAGGGUAUUACGGUUAGAAAUUUCUUGUUUUUCUGUUAUGAAAAUUUUGCAGGUUAAGGUUGGUUUAAGAUGGUAGCAUGCUUUGCCUUUUUACCGUGUCAUUCGUUCUAUAAUACUUAUGCUUUUCUUUGCCAUGGGCUACUGUCCAUUUGUUUGUUUGGUUUUGCUGCCAUGUCAGUUAGGUGAAAGAUGCUAGGUUAAUAUUAGAUGGAUGGUGACGACUGAAUGUUAGGUUUAAAUUGAUUUGUCAAGGUGAAUAGUGAAUGAAAACUGAAUUGUGAAUGUUUAUUGAUUGGCCGCACGUGAAGGACGUGUUUGUUUGUGCGUUAGCAAUUGGUUCUCUUUUUUACAUUGCAGAAAACAAGUCAUAACAAUUCUGAACCGUUGGUUUUGUGGCAAGGUAUUGGUCAAGGAGUUUGGAUCGUGAUCACAUUUGGAGACGCACCUUUCGCUCAUGGAUGCUCGGAAUCUUCCUAUCUUGGAAUUGUUGCUAAUGAGCUAGGAGUUUGGCUAUCAUAUCAAGUUGAACUAUUAUGGAAUUUUGUUGUGAAAUUUGAAAUGAACCUUGUUAAUUGGAAAAAUGUAAAAAUGUAAUAUAUGUAAUUUUUGUUGUA
Molecule: long non-coding RNA, 1160 nt
Organism: Lathyrus oleraceus (garden pea)
Lineage: Eukaryota; Viridiplantae; Streptophyta; Magnoliopsida; Fabales; Fabaceae
Exons: 3
Source: RefSeq, a predicted model, not a curated record